Molecule: unclassified non-coding RNA, 324 nt
Filed under: soil metagenome
Description: partial contains 5.8S ribosomal RNA, internal transcribed spacer 2, and large subunit ribosomal RNA
Rfam family: 5.8S ribosomal RNA (bases 1-120)
Source: RNAcentral
GAUGAAGAACGCAGCGAAAUGCGAUAAGUAAUGCGAAUUGCAGAAUUCAGUGAGUCAUCGAAUCUUUGAACGCACAUUGCGCCCUGUGGUAUUCCGCAGGGCAUGCCUGUUCGAGCGUCAUUUCAACCCUCAAGCCCCGCUUGGUGUUGGGCCCCGCCCGCCGUGGCCGGCCCUAAAGACAGUGGCGGCGCCGCCUGGCCCUCAGCGUAGUACAGCUCUCGCUCCAGGGUCCGGCGGCCGCCUGCCAGAACCCCCCCAACUCUGUGGUUGACCUCGGAUCAGGUAGGGAUAACCGCUGAACUUAAGCAUAUCAAUAAGCGGAGG